Molecule: ribosomal RNA, 464 nt
Filed under: Vreelandella stevensii
Lineage: Bacteria; Pseudomonadati; Pseudomonadota; Gammaproteobacteria; Oceanospirillales; Halomonadaceae
Description: partial 16S ribosomal RNA
Rfam family: Bacterial small subunit ribosomal RNA
Source: RNAcentral
CCUACGGGGGUAGCAGUGGGGAAUAUUGGACAAUGGGCGAAAGCCUGAUCCAGCCAUGCCGCGUGUGUGAAGAAGGCCUUCGGGUUGUAAAGCACUUUCAGUGGGGAAGAAAGCCUUGGGGCUAAUACCCUCGAGGAAGGACAUCACCCACAGAAGAAGCACCGGCUAACUCCGUGCCAGCAGCCGCGGUAAUACGGAGGGUGCGAGCGUUAAUCGGAAUUACUGGGCGUAAAGCGCGCGUAGGCGGUCUGAUAAGCCGGUUGUGAAAGCCCCGGGCUCAACCUGGGAACGGCAUCCGGAACGGUCAGGCUAGAGUGCAGGAGAGGAAGGUAGAAUUCCCGGUGUAGCGGUGAAAUGCGUAGAGAUCGGGAGGAAUACCAGUGGCGAAGGCGGCCUUCUGGACUGACACUGACGCUGAGGUGCGAAAGCGUGGGUAGCAAACAGGAUUAGAUACCCGAGUAGUC